RNAcentral lists this long non-coding RNA (226 nucleotides) under Gossypium raimondii (Peruvian cotton). RNAcentral's name for it is "long non-coding RNA (GRAI_LNC001501)". The record is from RNAcentral. Lineage: Eukaryota; Viridiplantae; Streptophyta; Magnoliopsida; Malvales; Malvaceae.
UUGCAAGGCACAAGAGCACCAACGCUCCUUCCUGCACUAGUGCACUAAACGCUCUCAAAGCACCCUCUUUAACUGAAUUCAAGAAACUUCUAUGGUUUCCUUAAUCAGCUCAGUCAAAAGAGCACCAAAAGCAUGUAGGAUCCAACAACACUGGAGAAGUAGAAUGGCUCAAGAAGCCAAGCAUUAGAUCCGAGCAGCUGCCCACUUAGCUUUAGGCAGAAAUCAG